Molecule: long non-coding RNA, 731 nt
Organism: Gallus gallus (chicken)
Lineage: Eukaryota; Metazoa; Chordata; Aves; Galliformes; Phasianidae
Exons: 2
Source: RefSeq, a predicted model, not a curated record
UCACCCAUCUUUUUCAAUGUCCCUCUUGCAAAAAUUGGCAGGAUUCUCCCAUAGAAGAGAAAAAUGGCUUGGCUUCAUGUUGGAGGUAGCAGCUUAAGGCAGCUUGUGUCAUUUCAUAUGGAUAAGUUUGCUUUUUAGAUCUGUGUGGACAACAGAUGACCAAAAUUCCCAUGGUUCUUCAGUGUGACUGAGCCAUGACCUGCUGUCAGUGUGCAGUUUCACUCAACCGAUGUAUUAUCUGAUAGAUGGUGUGGGCUCCUGGGCUUUGGGAACUGCUGACAACUUCGCAGGGCUUAGAGACUGGUGUGGGGACAUGGGAAUCUGCCAGCAGCUUAUACACAGGUGGAUGACGGCAUUCAAAGUGGGCUGCACUGCUGUCUGGAAGAGGCUCAGCAUCUCCUGGUGCCAAGUGCAGGGCUGGGGCCAGCAGUGUCUGGGGGCAAGCCUCGUGCCUGCUUUUUGUGGCUGACCAUGGACAGCUCUUCCGCAUCUUUCUGGUCAGAGGCACCCUGUGAAUCUCCCAGAGGGGAGAUGUAAAAGCUCUGCACACUCAGCCCAUCAACACCAAAUCCACCAGCAACACAUCAGCUCGCCCCGAUGAGAUAAGGCAGAGAUCACCUGGUAAUCUGUUACAGAAACAAAGAAGCAAGUGUUUCUCUAAGGAAAUUUUCUAAACAUCGCUUUCCUUUCUCAUUUUGCCUCAGUCCAAUAAAAUCAUUAAGCAUCCUUCA